CAUAGGUUAAUGAGGCGAACCGGGGGAACUGAAACAUCUAAGUACCCCGAGGAAAAGAAAUCAACCGAGAUUCCCCCAGUAGCGGCGAGCGAACGGGGAGGAGCCCAGAGCCUGAAUCAGUGUGUGUGUUAGUGGAAGCGUCUGGAAAGGCGCGCGAUACAGGGUGACAGCCCCGUACACAAAAAUGCACAUAUUGUGAGCUCGAUGAGUAGGGCGGGACACGUGGUAUCCUGUCUGAAUAUGGGGGGACCAUCCUCCAAGGCUAAAUACUCCUGACUGACCGAUAGUGAACCAGUACCGUGAGGGAAAGGCGAAAAGAACCCCGGCGAGGGGAGUGAAAAAGAACCUGAAACCGUGUACGUACAAGCAGUGGGAGCCUCUUAAUGGGGUGACUGCGUACCUUUUGUAUAAUGGGUCAGCGACUUAUAUUCUGUAGCAAGGUUAACCGAAUAGGGGAGCCGAAGGGAAACCGAGUCUUAACUGGGCGUUAAGUUGCAGGGUAUAGACCCGAAACCCGGUGAUCUAGCCAUGGGCAGGUUGAAGGUUGGGUAACACUAACUGGAGGACCGAACCGACUAAUGUUGAAAAAUUAGCGGAUGACUUGUGGCUGGGGGUGAAAGGCCAAUCAAACCGGGAGAUAGCUGGUUCUCCCCGAAAGCUAUUUAGGUAGCGCCUCGUGAAUUCAUCUCCGGGGGUAGAGCACUGUUUCGGCAAGGGGGUCAUCCCGACUUACCAACCCGAUGCAAACUGCGAAUACCGGAGAAUGUUAUCACGGGAGACACACGGCGGGUGCUAACGUCCGUCGUGAAGAGGGAAACAACCCAGACCGCCAGCUAAGGUCCCAAAGUCAUGGUUAAGUGGGAAACGAUGUGGGAAGGCCCAGACAGCCAGGAUGUUGGCUUAGAAGCAGCCAUCAUUUAAAGAAAGCGUAAUAGCUCACUGGUCGAGUCGGCCUGCGCGGAAGAUGUAACGGGGCUAAACCAUGCACCGAAGCUGCGGCAGCGACACUAUGUGUUGUUGGGUAGGGGAGCGUUCUGUAAGCCUGUGAAGGUGGCCUGUGAGGGUUGCUGGAGGUAUCAGAAGUGCGAAUGCUGACAUAAGUAACGAUAAAGCGGGUGAAAAGCCCGCUCGCCGGAAGACCAAGGGUUCCUGUCCAACGUUAAUCGGGGCAGGGUGAGUCGACCCCUAAGGCGAGGCCGAAAGGCGUAGUCGAUGGGAAACAGGUUAAUAUUCCUGUACUUGGUGUUACUGCGAAGGGGGGACGGAGAAGGCUAUGUUGGCCGGGCGACGGUUGUCCCGGUUUAAGCGUGUAGGCUGGUUUUCCAGGCAAAUCCGGAAAACCAAGGCUGAGGCGUGAUGACGAGGCACUACGGUGCUGAAGCGACAAAUGCCCUGCUUCCAGGAAAAGCCUCUAAGCAUCAGGUAACAUCAAAUCGUACCCCAAACCGACACAGGUGGUUAGGUAGAGAAUACCAAGGCGCUUGAGAGAACUCGGGUGAAGGAACUAGGCAAAAUGGUGCCGUAACUUCGGGAGAAGGCACGCUGAUAUGUAGGUGAAGCGACUUGCUCGUGGAGCUGAAAUCAGUCGAAGAUACCAGCUGGCUGCAACUGUUUAUUAAAAACACAGCACUGUGCAAACACGAAAGUGGACGUAUACGGUGUGACGCCUGCCCGGUGCCGGAAGGUUAAUUGAUGGGGUUAGCGGUAACGCGAAGCUCUUGAUCGAAGCCCCGGUAAACGGCGGCCGUAACUAUAACGGUCCUAAGGUAGCGAAAUUCCUUGUCGGGUAAGUUCCGACCUGCACGAAUGGCGUAAUGAUGGCCAGGCUGUCUCCACCCGAGACUCAGUGAAAUUGAACUCGCUGUGAAGAUGCAGUGUACCCGCGGCAAGACGGAAAGACCCCGUGAACCUUUACUAUAGCUUGACACUGAACAUUGAGCCUUGAUGUGUAGGAUAGGUGGGAGGCUUUGAAGUGUGGACGCCAGUCUGCAUGGAGCCGACCUUGAAAUACCACCCUUUAAUGUUUGAUGUUCUAACGUUGGCCCGUAAUCCGGGUUGCGGACAGUGUCUGGUGGGUAGUUUGACUGGGGCGGUCUCCUCCUAAAGAGUAACGGAGGAGCACGAAGGUUGGCUAAUCCUGGUCGGACAUCAGGAGGUUAGUGCAAUGGCAUAAGCCAGCUUGACUGCGAGCGUGACGGCGCGAGCAGGUGCGAAAGCAGGUCAUAGUGAUCCGGUGGUUCUGAAUGGAAGGGCCAUCGCUCAACGGAUAAAAGGUACUCCGGGGAUAACAGGCUGAUACCGCCCAAGAGUUCAUAUCGACGGCGGUGUUUGGCACCUCGAUGUCGGCUCAUCACAUCCUGGGGCUGAAGUAGGUCCCAAGGGUAUGGCUGUUCGCCAUUUAAAGUGGUACGCGAGCUGGGUUUAGAACGUCGUGAGACAGUUCGGUCCCUAUCUGCCGUGGGCGCUGGAGAACUGAGGGGGGCUGCUCCUAGUACGAGAGGACCGGAGUGGACGCAUCACUGGUGUUCGGGUUGUCAUGCCAAUGGCACUGCCCGGUAGCUAAAUGCGGAAGAGAUAAGUGCUGAAAGCAUCUAAGCACGAAACUUGCCCCGAGAUGAGUUCUCCCUGAGACUUAGAGUCUCCUGAAGGAACGUUGAAGACGACGACGUUGAUAGGCCGGGUGUGUAAGCGCAGCGAUGCGUUGAGCUAACCGGUACUAAUGAACCGUGAGGCUUAACCUU
This 2741-nucleotide ribosomal RNA is filed under the name Escherichia coli. RNAcentral's name for it is "partial 23S ribosomal RNA". It matches the Rfam family "Bacterial large subunit ribosomal RNA". The record is from RNAcentral. Lineage: Bacteria; Pseudomonadati; Pseudomonadota; Gammaproteobacteria; Enterobacterales; Enterobacteriaceae.